Long non-coding RNA from Culicoides brevitarsis, 1309 nucleotides. RefSeq lists it as uncharacterized. The transcript has 3 exons. The record is from RefSeq and is a predicted model, not a curated record. Lineage: Eukaryota; Metazoa; Arthropoda; Insecta; Diptera; Ceratopogonidae.
CAAUGACGACGACGACGACGCGACAACAGCAGCAACGACACGAAGUAUUGAUAACACAUCAUAAUAAACACUAUAAAAGAGUUUAUUUUUUUGGAGAAAAAAUGUGACGACGACAACGAGAGACGGUUAGUAAUUGGAAAAAUGUCUUCAAAGCAGGAGCUCUUUUGCGCAUCACUCGGAUUAUUUCUUAUAAUUUUAUUCGCACACACGAUCGCACAUACAAAUGCAUCGCAAGCGAUAUUGCAGGCGAGAAAUCAUCCAACGAACAAAGAAUUGUGCGUUUUCGAAGACGAAACCUACAAAAUUGGAAAAUCUCCCAUAAAAGGAGAAUGCGGCAUAAUUGAGUGUUCAGAGAGCUGCUUCUGUUAUUUCACUGGAUGUGGAGCAGUUGGUGUGAGGCCUCCGUGCUACACAAUUGAGGAAAAGGAAAAACCAUAUCCAGAUUGUUGUCCACAACCAGUAUGCCCAUCGGAAAAUGCACUGCGAUAAACACACAAAAAUAGUAUUAAGGUGUUAAAUUAAGCAAAAAAAAUGUCAUAAAAAAUUAGUGGCGCCACGGCGCUUUAUAAGCAAAAAAUAUAAAAGUAAACAAAUAUAUCAAGGAGGAAUUUUAAAUGUUAUUAUUUAAAUAAAAGAAAAAAAUGUUAAAAACACAAAAAUAAUUUUAUAGUGAAGAAAAUAAACAAACAAACAAAAACAAAGAAGAAGAAGAGGAACAAAGUCGAUAAUUAUCGUUAUAUUUUUAGAACAAACCACUGUCGAUGACGUAUUUUCCGUAUGGGGAAUUUUUUGGAAGUGCCAAAAGUCAAUAAAUUUUUUUGAAUUUUUAAUUUUUUUGUUGCAAAAAGAGCAAUUUAUUGCAUGAAAUUUUUCGUAUAAAUUAGAUCUGGUCCAAAAUUUGCACAUUAGUUCAUUAGCGAAAUGCGUCUCAUCAACAAGAAUUUUAUUAUUUUUGCCAUUCUGAUCUGGUUGGAAGCGGUUUUGGGUGCUAAAAAGGCAUCUGACGUGACAGUGGUGCCAGUUUUUGCAGAAAAAAGUGCCACACGACCGAACGAGUGUCAAUCGGGUGACGUAUUCUUCAAAAUUGGCAAAGAACAGUUAAAAACCGGAUGUGGCAUUGUUCAUUGCAAAGAAGAUUGUAAAUGUGGCAUUUUUGGAUGUCCAAGAACGAGUCUCAGGAAAGGGUGCGAAUAUGUAGUGAGCAAAACGAAGAAAUUCUAUCCGGAAUGUUGUCCUAGGCCAUCGUGUUAACAAGAGAUGAUGUCGAUGUUAAUUAAUGUAAAUAACAUAAUUUAAGAUUCGAAUAAAA